Molecule: long non-coding RNA, 395 nt
Filed under: Manihot esculenta (cassava)
Lineage: Eukaryota; Viridiplantae; Streptophyta; Magnoliopsida; Malpighiales; Euphorbiaceae
Description: long non-coding RNA (MESC_LNC001795)
Source: RNAcentral
UCCCAAACCUUCCAAACACCCCUAAAACAUGCAUUAACUAUUCUACAACAUGCAACCAAGCACAUAGGGGUCUCAAACUAUCCUAAACCCCAACAACCCUACAUACAUCAUACAAAAACACACAUUUACAUAAAGGGGUAACAUAACCCGAAAAUAACCAAAAUCCUCACAUACUCUCUCCCAUCAUGCAUACUCUCUCCCAUAUGCUCAAGGGGCUUGAAAACUAACUUAAACCCCAACACAAACAUCACAAGAACAAACAUUAUCAUACAUUGGGCAUAAAACCCACAUAAACCCUAACAUGCAUAUCUACCCAUCAAAACCAUCUUAAAACUUCAUGAAACGUAAAGAAAAGCAUAGAUCCACACUUACCUCUUGAAGAUCGAGGAUUGGUG